CAGUAUAUCUGUCUGUGUGUGUGUGUGUCAGUAUAUCAGUCUGUGUGUGUCAGUGCAUGUGCCUGUGUGUGUGUGUCAGUAUUUCUCAGUGUAUGUGGGUGUCAGUAUAUCUGUCAGUGUGUGGGUGUCAGUAUUUCUGUCAGUGUAUGUGUGUCAGUAUGUUGAUCAGUGUAUGUGUCUGUGUGUGUGUGUGUCAGUAUGUGGG
Non-coding RNA from Pelobates cultripes (western spadefoot toad), 205 nucleotides. The record is from the annotation of a GenBank genome assembly. Lineage: Eukaryota; Metazoa; Chordata; Amphibia; Anura; Pelobatidae.